GCUUUAUACCCACCUAGAGGAGCCUGUUCUAUAAUCGAUAAACCCCGAUACACCUCACCACUUCUUGCUAAUACAGCCUAUAUACCGCCAUCUUCAGCAAAC
Molecule: ribosomal RNA, 102 nt
Filed under: Kerodon rupestris (Rock cavy)
Lineage: Eukaryota; Metazoa; Chordata; Mammalia; Rodentia; Caviidae
Description: partial small subunit ribosomal RNA
Source: RNAcentral